UACGGAGGGUGCGAGCGUUGUCCGGAAUCACUGGGUUUAAAGGGUGCGUAGGUGGGCUAGUAAGUCAGUGGUGAAAUCUCCGGGCUUAACCCGGAAACUGCCAUUGAUACUAUUAGUCUUGAAUACCAUGGAGGUGAGCGGAAUAUGUCAUGUAGCGGUGAAAUGCUUAGAUAUGACAUAGAACACCAAUUGCGAAGGCAGCUCGCUACGCGGUUAUUGACACUGAGGCACGAAAGCGUGGGGAUCAAACAGG
This 253-nucleotide ribosomal RNA is filed under the name uncultured bacterium. RNAcentral's name for it is "partial 16S ribosomal RNA". It matches the Rfam family "Bacterial small subunit ribosomal RNA", at positions 524 to 776 of the family's 1533-position model. The record is from RNAcentral.